This 497-nucleotide ribosomal RNA is filed under the name uncultured bacterium. RNAcentral's name for it is "partial 16S ribosomal RNA". It matches the Rfam family "Bacterial small subunit ribosomal RNA", at positions 28 to 507 of the family's 1533-position model. The record is from RNAcentral.
GAUGAACGCUGGCGGCGUGCCUAAUACAUGCAAGUCGAGCGAACGGACGAGAAGCUUGCUUCUCUGAUGUUAGCGGCGGACGGGUGAGUAACACGUGGAUAACCUACCUAUAAGACUGGGAUAACUUCGGGAAACCGGAGCUAAUACCGGAUGAUAUUUUGAACCGCAUGGUUCAAAAGUGAAAGACGGUCUUGCUGUCACUUAUAGAUGGAUCCGCGCUGCAUUAGCUAGUUGGUAAGGUAACGGCUUACCAAAGCAACGAUGCAUAGCCGACCUGAGAGGGUGAUCGGCCACACUGGAACUGAGACACGGUCCAGACUCCUACGGGAGGCAGCAGUAGGGAAUCUUCCGCAAUGGGCGAAAGCCUGACGGAGCAACGCCGCGUGAGUGAUGAAGGUCUUCGGAUCGUAAAACUCUGUUAUUAGGGAAGAACAUAUGUGUAAGUAACUGUGCACAUCUUGACGGUACCUGAUCAGAAAGCCACGGCUAACUACGUG